AUGGAAGAGUUUCAUAAGGGUACUGUCCAACUAAAUCGUAUUAACAAAGCCUUCAUCGUGCUUCUUCCCAAAACAGUAGGUGCUACCUCUCCGGACAACUUCCGUCCGGUCUCCCUUCAAAAUUGCACCAUCAAGCUUACCUCCAAAUGCCUUACCUCUAGAGUCCAACCAUUUAUCUUCUCUAUCAUCCACCAGGAUCAAUAUGGAUUUAUCAAAGGUAGAAGCAUUGCGGAUAACUUUACGUAUGCCGCUGAUAUUGUUCAAACGUGCUUUAAGCGCAAAAAAGCAGCUAUUGUGCUUAAACUUGACUUCAAAAAAGCAUUUGACUCGGUCUCCUGGACCGCUCUGGGAGCUAUCAUGCUUGCCAAGGGCUUCCCCGAGAUUUGGUGCAAUUGGGUUGACAGCCUGAACCGUUCUAGUCAGUCGGCUGUUGUUCUGAAUGGCAAGCCUGGCCCUUGGAUCAACUGCAAACAGGGGCUACGACAGGGCGACUCGCUUUCUCCCUAUCUUUUCAUUAUUGUUGCUGAUGUCCUUCAGCGUCUGAUCUACCAGUCCUCCAAUGAUGGUAGGUUAGCUCACCUAAUUAAUCAGGAGCUUCCUUGCCCAGUUCUUCAGUACGCUGACGAUACGUUGAUCAUCUUGCCGGCGGAGGCUGCUCAACUUCAGACCUUAAAAGCUAUCCUGCUUCAAUUCUCUCAAGCCACGGGGUUGCAUAUCAACUUCCAUAAGAGCACGUUUGCCCCCAUCCACGUGCCUCCUGAGUUAGCCAACGAUUUAGCCAACAUUUUUGGUUGCCCGGUUGCUUCUUUCCCCCAGUCCUACCUCGGCCUUCCUCUAUCUACUCACGAUCUACGGCUCGCGGGGUUUCUCCGUUGGCUGCUAGAUAUGGGUGGUCCGAAGACCAGGACCUAG
This 912-nucleotide ribosomal RNA is filed under the name Triticum aestivum (bread wheat). RNAcentral describes it as "partial small subunit ribosomal RNA". Lineage: Eukaryota; Viridiplantae; Streptophyta; Magnoliopsida; Poales; Poaceae. The record is from RNAcentral.